Molecule: long non-coding RNA, 749 nt
Organism: Perca flavescens (yellow perch)
Lineage: Eukaryota; Metazoa; Chordata; Actinopteri; Perciformes; Percidae
Exons: 4
Source: RefSeq, a predicted model, not a curated record
ACUGCAGGAUGAGGUUUCUAAGCUGACAGUCAUGACCAUUAAAUACAUCAUUGGAACUUUUCCCUGUUCCACACUUGGAAUGGAAUUACAUUUUCUAAUUUGUUAUUGAUGUUUUAUUUCAGACUCACACAGCUCUGGGUCGAGCCAUCGAGACAUGGGAGCUGACGUCGGGACAGCAGUACCCAAACAAAAAUAGCCUAAUACAUGGGUACCUACAUACAUGGGUACCUACAUUUUGAAGCACUGACGGACCAUGAUUAUAACUUCUGCUGUGUCCUCUGUGGACAUCACCCUCCUGUGGUGGUCUGGAUCUCCAUAAAAGCUGUGUCUUCAGCUUGGCAGUCAGUGAACUAGAGGAUCCACCAGAGGGAUUUGAUGGGGAGGUGGACAUUGAUAAGUUCUGGGACUCUCUAUGUUUACAGAGGAUUGCACGUGGGUUUGUUCCAAGUGAUCAACAAAAUCCUUUUGCCGUUAAACCUUCAUACCACCACUGGGCCCCGUGGAUUGGACCUCACACCCGCAAAUCCAACAAGGUGCUUAAUACGGAGCAUAAAAAGGUCCAUACAACAAGGCACCCAAAAGAACAGACAGAGACUGAUGUAACAGAGGACAGGCUACUGGAUGAAGUAUCCAAUUUGUAGGUAAACGGGUCCAUGCCAUCCGAAAGCUCUGCAGGGAGUGCGGAAUAGAUUCACAAGGCUGAGAUAAGAGAAGAAAUGAAAACCCGAAGCAAAUUUGAUAAAAUCUUU